This 301-nucleotide ribosomal RNA is filed under the name uncultured bacterium. Its description in RNAcentral is "partial 16S ribosomal RNA". It matches the Rfam family "Bacterial small subunit ribosomal RNA", at positions 509 to 807 of the family's 1533-position model. The record is from RNAcentral.
CAGUAGCCGCGGUAAUACAGAGGGUGCGAGCGUUAAUCGGAUUUACUGGGCGUAAAGCGUGCGUAGGCGGCUUUUUAAGUCGGAUGUGAAAUCCCUGAGCUUAACUUAGGAAUUGCAUUCGAUACUGGGAAGCUAGAGUAUGGGAGAGGAUGGUAGAAUUCCAGGUGUACCGGUGAAAUGCGUAGAGAUCUGGAGGAAUACCGAUGGCGAAGGCAGCCAUCUGGCCUAAUACUGACGCUGAGGUACGAAAGCAUGGGGAGCAAACAGGAUUAGAUACCCCCGUAGUCCCUGUCUCUUAUAC